This 459-nucleotide ribosomal RNA is filed under the name uncultured bacterium. RNAcentral describes it as "partial 16S ribosomal RNA". It matches the Rfam family "Bacterial small subunit ribosomal RNA", at positions 338 to 795 of the family's 1533-position model. The record is from RNAcentral.
CCUACGGGAGGCAGCAGUGAGGAAUAUUGGUCAAUGGACGAGAGUCUGAACCAGCCAAGUAGCGUGAAGGAUGACUGCCCUAUGGGUUGUAAACUUCUUUUAUAAGGGAAUAAAAUGUUCCACGUGUGGGCUUUUGUAUGUACCCUAUGAAUAAGGAUCGGCGAACUCCGUGCCAGCAGCCGCGGUAAUACGGAGGAUCCGAGCGUUAUCCGGUUUUAUUGGGUUUAAAGGGGGUGUGGGUGGAAGUUAAAUUUAGCGUGAAAAGUUUCGGGCUCAACCUUAUAUUGCCGUUGAAACUGAGAGUCUUGAGUGCGCGAGAGGUAGGCGGAAUGCGUGGUGUAGCGGUGAAAUGCUUAGAUAUCACGAAGAACUCCGAUUGCGAAGGCAGUUUACUGGACUCCAACUGACGCUGAGGCUCGAAAGUGUGGGUAUCGAACAGGAUUAGAUACCCUUGUAGUC